RNAcentral lists this long non-coding RNA (2999 nucleotides) under Mus musculus (house mouse). Its description in RNAcentral is "long non-coding RNA chrX:112605704-112608703". Lineage: Eukaryota; Metazoa; Chordata; Mammalia; Rodentia; Muridae. The record is from RNAcentral.
AUGGUUUAGAAAUGCUUUGGGGUGGGUUAGAAGACUACAGGAUUGUGAUAAUUAAUCUUUGUUGGUGACGUGCCAGGUUUGAGAGGAGUUUUAGAGGUUAUCAAAGCACACGCUUGUGUAUAUCUGUUAGUGUGUUUUUACAGAGGAUUGGGUGGGAUGAAAGAUCCAGCUUACACAUGAGCAUCACCAUCCAACACGGGGCCUUAGGACAUGCAAUAAAAUAGGAAGAAUGGAGAAUGCCUGCUACCAUGGGCAUAGUUUCCUUCUGCUUCCUUUUCUCCAUGAGGUUAGCUGCUUUGCUCUGCUUCCUGCUCCCUGCCAUGGCAUUCAGCCUCACAUGUCAGGCACAGAGCAAUGGAAACAGGCUGAAAUCUCUGAGACUGUGAGCUAAAAUUAAUCCUUUAAAUUCUUCUAUCAUGUUUAAAUCACAGGAAUGAGAAAGGGUGACAGGAAGAAUUACAGGAUUAAGACAAUUUUUGUUGGUUUUUUUUUUAAAUUCUUGGCUGGAGAGUUGAUAGGGUUUAGACUGUUAGAGCCAGUUAGGUUUCUACGUAGGUUUUAGAAUAGACAGACACUUGAAUUUUAAUAUAGUAAAGGUUUUAUUUUAAAUGUCAAAUUUGAGACCUCCUCAAUACAUUGAGGUUUCCCUUUAUGUAAUAUUUUAUUUCCUUUUACUUGCUACAUAUUGCAACACACACACACACACACACACACACACACACACACACACAUAUGUGUGUGUAUAUUUCUUUUUCUUUUUUAAAGCAUUUUUAUUAGAUAUUUUCUUCAUUUACAUUUCAAAUGCUAUCCCCAAAGCCCCCUAAUUCCCUCCCCUGCCUUGCUCCCCAACCCACCCACUCCCUCUUCCUGGCCCUGGCGUUCCCCUGUACUGGGGCAUAUGAUCUUUGUGAGACCAAGGGCCUCUCCUACCACUGAUGGCCGACUAGGCCAUCCUCUGCUACAUAUGCAGCUAGAGUCACCACAGCUCUAGGGGGUAUUUCUUUUCAUUGAGAUAUAAUUCAGUUGCCAUACUAUUCACUCCUUUUAAAGUUUGUUUUUAAGGAAGUUAUUUUAAUUUACGUGUGUGUGUGUGUAUACGUGUGCCACAUUUAUGCUGAUAUAUGUGAAAGCCAGAAAAGAGGGUGUUAGAUCCCUUGGAGCUGAAGUUACAGGUAGAAAAAAAGCCACCUAAAGUAGAUUCUGAAACUGAACUCAGAUUCUAUGGAAGAGCAGCAGGCAUUCUAAACCACUGAGUCAUCUCUCCAGACCCUAUUUUAAAGUUUAUAAUUCCAGAUUUUGGUACAAUUAGAUAAUUAUGCAGUCAUAUUUUACAAAAACAUCUUAUAAUAAAAGUUAUAAUUUAAAAAAGUAUGAAAUAAAGUCUCAUAUAUAUUAUUAGUUAUUAACCCAUCUUUUUUUCAACCAGUCCUUAAUAACCAGUAAUUCAAUUUAUAGAUUCACCUAUUCUAAACAAUUCUUAUAAGUACAAUCAUGUAAUAUAUGGCUUUUCAUGCAUAGCUUUUACUUUAACACAGUUUCAUGGUUUAUAAUCAUAUUUUGUUUACUACCCUAUUGGUAAAUAUUUGAGUUGUUGAAAUAUUUCAGUGUUUUAGAUCAAUUUUGUGUUUGACUUAAAACUUUUUUUUUAGGCUUAUUCCCUUUGAGGCAUGUGUCAGUAUGCCAAGGCAUACUUGAAACUAUCAGAGCUUGCGGGUCAUUUUCAUAUAUUUACAUGUGAUUUAGCUAUAUAAUGUUUUAGAUAGCUAUGUAAUGUCUAUAAAUACAUAUAAUAUGUUAUGGAAAAUUCAUUUUCUGUAUCUACUGUUGUUUAAGGAAGGAAUAAGAAGAUGAGAAAGUUUGAGAACUACUAAUUUUGGUUGGCAUUGUCAUAGUUAUUUGAAGUUUUCUUUUAAAGUGAAUUAAUGGAGUAAAUAAAUCUCUUUAUGUCAGUAAAAAGUAGAGAGGUACUUUUUGUUGUUGUUAGAUGCCUAUUCAAGACUGAAUUACUUAGUUGUGUUUUUGAAAUGAUUUUUUUUUUAGGAUCCAUUUUGUGAUUUCUUAAAUCGAGGUAUAUAAAUCAGUGCAAACUGAAUUUUUAUACUGUGAUAAGAUUGUUUUUCUUAAUUAUAGUGAAAUCAAGAAUUGCUAAUAGAGCAAAGUUUACUCUUGGAUUUGGUUUGUGCUGGUGCUUUCCUAAAAUAUGCUAGGUUUCCAUCUGUCCUCAGUAAAUAGAUUUUUAAAUCUUUGAAGUUAUAAAUUAUAGAAGUUUGGGUACACAGCCAUGUAAAUAGACUGUGUUAUAAGGUCUCCAAAUUCUGUAAGGUUCCCAAUUGAUACAAUGGGAUUAAUAUUUUAUAGAAAAUUAGAAGAACUAAUUUAGAGGUUAUUAGAUCAAUUUCUUUAGAAGGAUGGUUGAGAUUUAAAGUUUUUAAAUUUUAUGUCUCAUACAAUUUUUGCUGAUGUUUGAGUAAAGUGAUUGUACUUGCAGUCAGUGGCACUGAGUUUUGCAGUUGUUUGGGAUUUUAGUGUUGCAAAGCAGUGUUGGUUUGAAACUUAAAUAGCAAAAUGGCUUUAGAUAGUGGUCCAAGAAAACAGUGUUAAGAAGGACAUUUUUUGCUAUCACUCUAGUGGAGUGCCAGAUAACAUUUGAACAAAUACUUUUCAUAAAAUGGAAAAUACUUGAAGUCAGGAUUUCGUCUUUGUUGCUACGUUUAUCUCAUUGGCUCACAUUUGAAAGAUGAAUGUUUAUCAUUUGUAAUUUUCUAACAGUAAGAUAAAUUCUUUAUGCCAUUAGGUGUUGCUUAAUAAAUUUUUAAAAAUAUUUAAAUACGUUUUUAAUAAUAUUUAAUACGUUUUAUGUGAUAGGUUUUUUAAAUUCUUCACAAAAUAUUAUUAUACUAAUACUGUAUUUGCUUAAUUUUAUGAAGUCUCUCUUUUAAAACUUAUCUAGGGUAAGAAACGAAACUUUAUGCUCCUAGGUGAGUAGAAGAAGAAGAAGG